CCUACGGGAGGCAGCAGUGGGGAAUAUUGGGCAAUGGGCGCAAGCCUGACCCAGCAACGCCGCGUGAAGGAAGAAGGCUUUCGGGUUGUAAACUUCUUUUAAGGGGGAAGAGCAGAAGACGGUACCCCUUGAAUAAGCCACGGCUAACUACGUGCCAGCAGCCGCGGUAAUACGUAGGUGGCAAGCGUUGUCCGGAUUUACUGGGUGUAAAGGGCGUGCAGCCGGAGAGACAAGUCAGAUGUGAAAUCCACGGGCUCAACCCGUGAACUGCAUUUGAAACUGUUUCCCUUGAGUGUCGGAGAGGUAAUCGGAAUUCCUUGUGUAGCGGUGAAAUGCGUAGAUAUAAGGAACAACACCAGUGGCGAAGGCGGAUUACUGGACGAUAACUGACGGUGAGGCGCGAAAGCGUGGGGAGCAAACAGGAUUAGAUACCCCUGUAGUC
Molecule: ribosomal RNA, 442 nt
Filed under: uncultured bacterium
Lineage: Bacteria
Description: partial 16S ribosomal RNA
Rfam family: Bacterial small subunit ribosomal RNA
Source: RNAcentral